RNAcentral lists this long non-coding RNA (310 nucleotides) under Amborella trichopoda. RNAcentral describes it as "long non-coding RNA (ATRI_LNC001183)". The record is from RNAcentral. Lineage: Eukaryota; Viridiplantae; Streptophyta; Magnoliopsida; Amborellales; Amborellaceae.
CGGCCGGUGCCAAAUAUAUAUGGCUAGAGCCGGAGUAACCUGACAAUUCCCUACCUGAACCAGCAGGUUCCGGUCGCGUUGAGCAAUGGUUUGGAAGAUCCGUGCUCAAAAUAGGACUGGGCUUAUAGUUUAUAUGUGAAUCUUUUGAUUUUAUAACAAGGAAUUUAAUGGCGAAAUGAUGAUGUUGAUGUUGAUGUUGAUUUCAGUUGGGAAACAUUAAUGGAGUCACAGGCUUUGACUGCUCAAACCCUGUAUCUCCGUACUACCAAAAAUUUUCCAAUUGACCCACCCCUACCCAGCUUCCCCUGUC